AUCAUCUGAACGUGGCAGCAGAUUAUUAUUAUAUAGGUUAAAUGUUACAUCAGCCCAUGAUCGACCUACUUCUCCAGUUACAUCAGUCCAUGAUCGACCUACCUUUCUAGUAUUAUCUAUUAAUCGACUAUUCAGAACUGCUAGUAAGGUGAAUGCUCACAUCGAUUUGCUUUUGAUCUCCUUCAUCUUACUCCGGUUAACAGUUGAUCUAAAUCGAUGACGAUUAUUCAACAUGAGC
Molecule: long non-coding RNA, 238 nt
Filed under: Elaeis guineensis (African oil palm)
Lineage: Eukaryota; Viridiplantae; Streptophyta; Magnoliopsida; Arecales; Arecaceae
Description: long non-coding RNA (EGUI_LNC013891)
Source: RNAcentral